RNA transcript from Carlito syrichta (Philippine tarsier), 1591 nucleotides. It is a transcript of the gene named F-box only protein 9-like, with no coding region annotated. Lineage: Eukaryota; Metazoa; Chordata; Mammalia; Primates; Tarsiidae. The record is from RefSeq and is a predicted model, not a curated record. The transcript has 4 exons.
AUGGCAAAAGUCUUCUUUCUGGACUUUCUGGCUGAAUGCAUCCAUGAUCUUCGGAUAUUUGUUAGGGAUGUCGCUGGACCCCUGCCCCGUGAAGAUGCCUGCCGUCCGCCGGGCCCGCAGUUACUGCCGCGGCCUGGUGCGCUUCUUCGACGAGAACUCUGCUAAGCCCCGCUCUGCGGCAGACAGGCAGGAGUAGACACCCGGACACCCAGCUCCCCUCCUCCGGGGGGCGGUGGGGAGGGGGCGCGGGAGCCCCUCGACCACGGCGGGCCGCCCCACCAGCAGGGCAGAAACUGAGGAAGACUGUCAUUCCGAUACUGUCAGAGCAGAUGAUGAUGAUGAAAAUGAAGUCCUGUUGAAACAGAUCUUCAGGCACAACUACAGAUGUUCCGAGCUCAGUGGAUGUUUGAACUCGCCCCGGGUGGAGGCUCUAGCAACUGAGAAAACCGACCUUGCAGAGCCACCAGAGGCUCUCAACAGAAAGCAGCAACAGAUACCAAAGGAAAACAAGAGCAGGCAAAAGAAGAAAAGGCUCGAGAACUCUUCCUAAAAGCAGUUGAAGAAGAACAAAAUGGAGCUCUCUACGAAGCCAUCAAGUUUUAUCAUAGGGCUAUGCAACUUGUACCUGAUAUAGAGUUCAAGAUUACUUAUACCCGGUCUCCUGAUGGUGAGGACAUUGGAAACAGUUACCUUGAAGAUAAUGAUGAUGACAGCAAGAUGGCAGAUCUCUUGUCCUGCUUCCAGCAGCAGCUCAUGUUCCAGGAAUCUGCGCUCAAACUGUGUCAGCCUGAGCUUGAGAGCAGUCAGGCUCACAUAUCAGUGCUGCCAAUGGAGGUCCUGAUGUACAUCUUCUGGUGGGUGGUAUCCAGUGACUUGGACCUCAGAUCAUUAGAGCAGUUGUCCCAGGUGUGCAGAGGAUUCUACAUCUGUGCCAGAGACCCUGAGAUAUGGUGUCUGGCCUGCUUGAAAGUUUGGGGUAGAAGCUGUAUUAAACUUGUUCCGUACACAUCAUGGAGAGAUAUGUUUUUAGAAUGGCCUCGUGUUUGGUUUGAUGGAGUAUAUAUCAGUAAAACUACAUACAUUUCUCAAGGGGAACAGUCUCUUGAUGGUUUCUAUAGAGCCUGGCACCAAGUGGAAUAUUACAGAUACAUAAAGUUCUUUCCUGAUGGCCAUGUGAUGAUGCUGAUGACCCCUGAAGAGCCUCAGACCAUCGUUCCCACUUAAGCACAAGGAAUGCCAGAACUGACGCCAUUCUACUGGGUCAUUAUCGCUUGUCACAAGAUACAAUCAGACCAAAGUAUUUGCCAUAAUAACUAAGAAAAAAGAAGAAAAACCACAUGUCUACAAAUAUAGAUAUUUUUGUUGUGUCCCUGUACAAGAAGCAGAUCAGAGUUUUCAUGUGGAGCUACAGCUAUGAUCCAGUGUCCACCAGAGGUUCAACAAACUCAUCUGGAUACAUUAUUCUUGUCAUAUCACUUACAAAUCAACUGGUGAGACUGCAGUCAGUGCUUUUGAGAUCAACAAGAUGUCUACCCCCUUGUUCUUCACCAGAGUCAGGAGCUACACAGCAUUCUCAGAAAGGCAUCUGUAG